RNAcentral lists this ribosomal RNA (361 nucleotides) under uncultured bacterium. RNAcentral's name for it is "bacterial SSU rRNA". It matches the Rfam family "Bacterial small subunit ribosomal RNA", at positions 29 to 419 of the family's 1533-position model. The record is from RNAcentral.
AGCGAACGCUGGCGGCAGGCUUAACACAUGCAAGUCGAACGGGCACUUCGGUGCUAGUGGCAGACGGGUGAGUAACGCGUGGGAACGUGCCUUUCGGUUCGGAAUAAUCCAGGGAAACUUGGACUAAUACCGGAUACGCCCUUCGGGGGAAAGAUUUAUCGCCGAAAGAUCGGCCCGCGUCUGAUUAGCUAGUUGGUGAGGUAAAGGCUCACCAAGGCGACGAUCAGUAGCUGGUCUGAGAGGAUGAUCAGCCACACUGGGACUGAGACACGGCCCAGACUCCUACGGGAGGCAGCAGUGGGGAAUAUGGACAAUGGGCGAAAGCCUGAUCCAGCCAUGCCGCGUGAUGAUGAAGGCCUUA